UCCGGUUUGACACCGGCAGUCUCGCUAGAGUCCCCAGCAUUACCUGAUGGUAACUAGCGACAGGGGUUGCGCUCGUUAGAGGACUUAACCCGACGCUUCACAGCACGAGCUGACGACAGCCAUGCAGCACCUGUGCAUGUUCCACUCUUGCGAGUGUGGCUCCUGUUUCCAGGAGUUAAUCCAUGCAUGUCAAACCCAGGUAAGGUUCUGCGCGUUGCUUCGAAUUGAGCCACAUGCUCCACCGCUUGUGUGAGCCCCCGUCAAUUUCUUUGAGUUUUAGCCUUGCGACCGUACUCCCCAGGCGGUGUGCUUAACAAUUUCUCUUCGAUCCCGACGGCGUCAGAGCCGCCGUAAUCCAGCACACAUCGUUUAGGGCGUGGACUAC
This 385-nucleotide unclassified non-coding RNA is filed under the name uncultured Phycisphaeraceae bacterium. Its description in RNAcentral is "contains 16S-23S intergenic spacer region". The record is from RNAcentral. Lineage: Bacteria; Pseudomonadati; Planctomycetota; Phycisphaerae; Phycisphaerales; Phycisphaeraceae.